Molecule: long non-coding RNA, 1912 nt
Organism: Mauremys reevesii (Reeves's turtle)
Lineage: Eukaryota; Metazoa; Chordata; Testudines; Geoemydidae
Exons: 2
Source: RefSeq, a predicted model, not a curated record
CAGGGACUAGAGGAGGAAGAGGUGCUUCUGGCUGUCUGAAAGACUUAAGCAGAACACCAAGACUCUUUAAUCUUGGUAGAUUGUGAGAAAAGAGGGUCGAGGCCAUAGGAGAGAGCUAAAGGAGGGAGAAACUGGAGAAGCUUUGGGUGAAAGCCUAAUUCAAUCAGCAAUUCUGGCGCAUGGCAGAACAAAGGCUGAACCUUUAUGUGCUUUGAAAUAUCUGGUCGCAAACUGCAAUAUAACUGCUUGGUGGUAUUUAACCCACAGUAGCACCAACACAGUAGCCUGGCGCCCCUCAAGUAAAGCGUGGAGCUGCCUGCAACAUCACAAAAUAUUUUGUUUUUCCUUACCAUCAGAUGGGGUGCGGAAGGAGGAAAGGAAAACUCAUUCCCCUGUCUGGAGCCAGCUGGAAAGGAAGAAUUGUCUCAGAGACCAGAAGAGUCUGAACUAAGUGACCUGUCUGGGGAGGACUCUGUCUAUCCAGAGAUCUGUAUGCAAUGUUGUAGCCAUGUUGGCCCCUGGAUUUAGGGAGACAAGGUGGGUGAGGUAAUAUCUUUCACUGGAUCAGCUUCUAUUGGUGACAGAGAUGAGCUCUUGCGUUUACACAGAAGAACUCUAAGCUUGAAAGUUUCUCUUUCCAACAGAAGUUGAUCCAAUAAAAGAUACUAUCUCACCCACACUCUCUAAUAUAGAGACCUUACAGCCUGCAAACAUUUUCAGGAUUCAGUGGGACUGCCCAUACUCAUAGUUACUCAAAGGGUAUUUGCAUGAGGGGGGCCUAACAUCCUGUGCCCAUAAGUAAGCAACAACUUUUUCCAAAGCCAAGGAAAGAAAUUAUAGAUUUGGUGUAGUGCAAUAGUUAGAAAAGUCACAAAGGGGCAGAUAUGGCCUAUUAAAUGAGCAAUGCCUGCUACUUAUGGGGAAAUGGCACCUGACUAGUAGCAAGAAAAUCAUUUUUAAUGCUCAUAGUAACUGAGACAGAGGAAACCAGGAAGACCAAGGAUUCCGAUGACAGAAAGCUGUAUGUAAAAGUCAACAACUUCCAUCACUUCCAAUUUUAUGAUUAAAUCUUUCAGUCCAAACAAAAUAAAUGCAUAAUUAUAUUGUUAAUAAAACUUCUGAAAGUAUAGUAGCAGAUAACAGCUGGGGUUUCCCCUAUUAUCCGCUCAGUGUUCAACCUGGGAAUUGAUUAUAAAGCCUUUGAACUUUUGUUCAAAGUUUGUUUUUUAAACUCAGGGUUUUUCAGUUGCUCUGCAUCUACUGUAUAAUGUAAUAUUUUCUUGAAUCCCUGUUAAAGAUGCUGUAAAUAUCAGAUGUGUCGGAACAGACUCUGAAAUGAAUUAAAUGUAAUUCAAAUUGUGCUUAAGACAAAUUAAUGUUAAAAUGGAGCAAUAAAUACAUAUCAAAUGUGGAAUUAUAAAAAUAUUGAACAAUAUGAUAGAAGUAUGUAAUCAUAAUGAAUUUCUGUAUUUCACUAAUUAUUGUGUGGAUGCAUCUGGCAAGCAUCUAAGUUAUCAAGCGUAUGCAUAUCCACCCUGCAGAAGCACCUGGUAGGUAAGUAGCAAAAAUGCAGAUUAACAAGUCAUCAUGUAAAUAUGUGACAAAGGGCACACGAUCUCUUGAAGCUAUGCUCAGUGAGAUGGGAAAAGGAAAGACUGGUCAAUGCAGUUCUAUGCAUAAUAUACAAUGUCUCUCUAGUGUAGUGAAACUCCUUAAAAUGAACCUAAACCCCUCAAAGCAUUUUAAUGAACACAAACAGCACUGAGAUAAAGAUGAGUUAUAACUAUGGAGCAGUGUUAAAGCAAGGUUUUUAUCUAUUUUAUGCAGUUAUAUGACCCCUGUAGUAUCUGAACACCUCACAAACUUUAAUAUAUUUAUCCUUCGAACUCCUCUCUGAGGUAGAGACUUGCUA